This 71-nucleotide transfer RNA is filed under the name bacterium. Its description in RNAcentral is "tRNA-Trp". It matches the Rfam family "tRNA". From Rfam's summary of the family: Transfer RNA (tRNA) molecules are approximately 80 nucleotides in length. Their secondary structure includes four short double-helical elements and three loops (D, anti-codon, and T loops). The record is from RNAcentral.
GGGGAUAUAUUUCAGUGGUAGAAGCUUGGAUUCCAAACCCAAGAACGUGUGUUCGAUUCAUACUAUUCCCA